UACGGAGGGGGCUAGCGUUGUUCGGAAUUACUGGGCGUAAAGGGUGCGUAGGCGGCGUGGAAAGUUGGGUGUGAAAUCCCUCGGCUUAACCGAGGAACUGCGCCCAAAACUACCAUGCUCGAGGAAGAUAGAGGUGAGCGGAACUUACGGUGGAGCGGUGAAAUGCGUUGAUAUCGUAAGGAACACCCGUGGCGAAAGCGGCUCACUGGGUCUUUUCUGACGCUGAUGCACGAAAGCUAGGGGAGCAAACGGG
RNAcentral lists this ribosomal RNA (253 nucleotides) under uncultured bacterium. RNAcentral describes it as "partial 16S ribosomal RNA". It matches the Rfam family "Bacterial small subunit ribosomal RNA", at positions 524 to 776 of the family's 1533-position model. The record is from RNAcentral.